Molecule: ribosomal RNA, 252 nt
Filed under: uncultured bacterium
Lineage: Bacteria
Description: partial 16S ribosomal RNA
Rfam family: Bacterial small subunit ribosomal RNA
Source: RNAcentral
UACGGAGGAUGCGAGCGUUAUCCGGAUUUAUUGGGUUUAAAGGGUGCGCAGGCGGCACGGCAAGCCGGCGGUCAAAUCGCGGGGCUCAACCCCGCCCAGCCGUCGGAACUGCCGGGCUAGAGUGGGCGAGAAGUGCGCGGAAUGCGUGGUGUAGCGGUGAAAUGCAUAGAUAUCGCGCAGAACUCCGAUUGCGAAGGCAGCGUACCGGCGCCACACUGACGCUGAGGCACGAAAGCGUGGGGAUCGAACAGG